ACUACCAAGAAGGACAACGGUUGGCGA
RNAcentral lists this non-coding RNA (27 nucleotides) under Bombyx mori (domestic silkworm). The record is from RNAcentral. Lineage: Eukaryota; Metazoa; Arthropoda; Insecta; Lepidoptera; Bombycidae.